Molecule: long non-coding RNA, 720 nt
Filed under: Anser cygnoides (Swan goose)
Lineage: Eukaryota; Metazoa; Chordata; Aves; Anseriformes; Anatidae
Description: lncRNA (ENSACDG00005003170.1)
Source: RNAcentral
AUGCACAGUGAAUUUCACCAGCGAGGAUUUAAGAACUCCACAUUUGAUGAAGAGGUGAAACGCCUGGUGAACGACAUGGCCCUGGCAGAGUACGCAGCCACUUUUACACCAGUGUGUAAUCAAGAGCUGCUGCCUUCUUCCACGGACAUUUCGGAGGCUAGUGGACAGUCAGAGGAUCACGAGACGUAUGUCAGAGUGAACGGGAUGACAGGGUCAAAACCUGCAAACUCUCUACGAGAGGUGGAUGGCAUCCGCAGUUCUCACAUCACUCCAAACGUGUAUGCCAGUUCUCCUAUAAAAUUAAGAAGUCCAGAGAAGAUCAUAGCCUUGCAUCGGGAACUAAGACAAAACCAUUGCAAAAAUUGCCAGAUACCUUCAGCUGAUCCCUGCAAUGUGAACCUGACAGGUGACCGCAACCUGCCCGUGAUCCAGGAGGAAACCCCUUGGCCUCCGCUCUCGAAGAUGAAGGAGACACUGGAGCCUUCAGAGCAUGGUGCUUCCUGGGCCACGAAAGGGAGGGACCGCUUGUCCAAACGGGAUGAUGUAUUUUGGGGUCAAAUAGGAAAUCAGCAUGCAGGUGCUAUUCCCCAGGGAAUGAAACAGAAAAAUGUCAUUACGAAUAAUGCAUGGCUCUCUAGAGAUAAAACAGAUGGCUCAACCUCAGCUACCGCAGCAAAAAGCUAUUUGUCAGACGUGUUGUCGGCAAGUAAUAAAGGUUGA